Marmota monax (woodchuck) is the source of this 3825-nucleotide long non-coding RNA. RefSeq lists it as uncharacterized. The transcript is spliced from 3 exons. NCBI's taxonomy places the organism in Eukaryota, Metazoa, Chordata, Mammalia, Rodentia, Sciuridae. The record is from RefSeq and is a predicted model, not a curated record.
UGUGUCAAAUAAGGUGAGCAGACUUGUUCUAUGCUUCUAAUUAUAGUGAGAUUUUCAUCUCCCUGAGCUUGCUGCUUUUGUGUUGUUCAAAUGAAAGACACGAAAUAAAGGCAUAAAUGAGAGCUGGUCACCUAAGUGGGUCAACCCAGACUUACUCCAGACUCUCCUACUUUGUUUUAAACUCCUUUAUAAAGAGUUGUUAGCUUUUAUCCUUCAUUGUGACACACUAAGACACAGUAGCCACUUCCUCCCUCUCUUCAGGAAGAAAAGUUUUCAGCCUGGUUGGUGCUGACCAACCAUAUUUGAGACACUCUUUUUACCUUUUUCUGAAGUUCACAUGACAAAUGAUUUUCCAUGCCAAAAGCUUCCUUAAAUUUAGAGUAAGGUUAGUCCUAUAGGUGAUGGCUGAUGCACCCUUGGGGCAUAUCAAGGAGGCCAGCCUUGGGCACUCAGAGGAGGAGCUUGACAGUUGAACAUAGGAGAUAAACUAAGUCAGGGUGAUCAUCAUCUCUACUUCCACACACACAGAAACUCUUACCUCACCUUUUAGCAAAGGCCUUGGGUAAAGCAAUAAGCAUCUGUCAAGUAAAUCCUUCAUUUGUUCACCAAAUAUUUACUGAGCUCCUACUAAAAUCAAGCAUUGUGCUAAAUUUAGGGUAGAACACAAACACCCAGCCUACUUCCAAAGAAAUAACAUGCAACUGGGUGAUAAGACAAGUAAAUAAUUCAUUUUAGUGUAAGGAAAGAGUUGGGACCAGUACCAGUUGGGUAUAGGUGCUCUGAUAGUGUGCAAGAGAGGACCCUGCCUGUGGAGACCUUUAUGAACCUCAGGACAUGUUCAAAUGGAAGCUCAACCAGUGCUGAGAGCUGAAGUAAGAAGGUGAAGUCUCUUGGACGAUAAUGGCAUCUGCAAGCACUGAAGAGGAAUGACUGGGAGCAUGGCCCACUAAGAGGAGAUGGGAAAACAUGAAAUGCAAGAGGUUAACUGGCUCUUAAUCCAAGCUCACACCACUGCUUAAAGGAAGUAGAGGAAACACAAAACAACAUGAUGGAUAUUUCUGGAUAACAAGACGUCACAUUUAUCUGAUAUGGCUGUUCUGAACCAAGGGACCAAGGACCUUCACUUUUUCCCUACAGCAUGCUUUGGGGAGUUCAGGAACAUUGAAACUUGGGAUGUGGGAGGCUGCUGCUUUGCAAAUAGAGUGGAUAAUAAAGUUUCCCAGAUCUGGUAUUAAAGAAUGAUUUAGUUGGAAGUACAUACAUUUAAGAUUUUUAAUUAGAAGUUUGGGAUAUGCCUGGUUCCAAGUAAAGGUGUGGGUGGAGGGCGCAUAUCCUGUGCACUUCAGCCUAUGAUAUUCUCUCAAUUCCACAAGGACUAUCCUAUCAUUCUCAGCCCUCAUCUCUGUCAGCUAACACAGUCCACUCACACAAAUAUCAUGUCCAUUCAUCCAUACCCUGUUUUUUACCAUAAGCAUAAGAACCUCAAAUUGGAAAAACCCAACCAGCUUCAUGUCAAUUUGAAACUGAUGAGAACAUAAUCUACCUGGAUGAUGAAGAAUUAAUUCUCUGGUUUUGCAGAGAGGGAGAUUCAGAGACCACCUUGUCUCGAGUUGUUGUGGAAGAUGUAACAAAAAUUUUUAAUUGAUAUUCUCCCAUACUUGUCAGCAUGAAAACAAAAAUCUUGUUUGGUAAGAUGAAAAUUAACCACAUGUUUUGAAAAUCUACCCUUAGACAUUCCCACACCCCACACCAUUCAAUCUCAAGGAUGUUUAUGGCCUCCUCCUUGAACUUUCAGAGGUCUUAAUUUUUAUCAUGAUUGCAGUAUUCUUUACAGUAUUUUAUAAUUAUCUAUCCUGUAGCUAUUCCGCUUACUCUUAAUUUAUUCAUUUAACAUAGGAACCAGGUUUUCUUGUUUGUUUUAUUUCUGUAUCAUCACCAUUUAGUGUGGUUCCAAAAUAUGCUUGACACUAAAGAAAGCCCAAAUGAAUGAAUUUACAAAAGAUUUUUUUUAUAUAAAAACAUAUUCCAAAUGUGUGUGUAUAUGUAGAAAAUAAUGUGUGUUGUAUUGCAAUGAACUUUCUCAUUCAUUUGUCCCUGGGAAACACAUAUAGCUUCUCAUACCCAAGAGAGAGUAGUCAGGUACAGUGCCUCAAGUGGGGCUAUUUGCACAAGGAUGGGUAAUUUUUUUAAAAGUAGGCAAUUUUAAGAGAUGGGUUUGGAGCAUAUUGGUCAGUCACAGAUAUAGAAGCAACUUCCAAGGCAAAAAGAAAAGAGAAAAAAUAUAUUUUAGAGUUUUCAUUUCUAUAGGAGACAAAACACUUUUAAGUUGAAGACAGGUUCUUCUCCUUUUGCAAUAUAAUGAGUAGAAGAUAUUGUCACCUUCUUUGAUUUGAAGGGUGUAACAUUGGAUUAUACAAGUACCUAAAGAUGCCAGGCAUAUGCUGGAGUUUAACAAAUAAUAAAAAUUUGAGAAAUUAUUUUCAAUACUUUUCAAAUAGUACACUGCAGGAAGAGGUUCCUCCCAGAUAUAUUUGACUUGUGGUAUUUUACCUGUAUAUCAUUGAGGACUCUGAGAGUGGAGAGAGAUUUCUGCUUCUCUGAAUCUUGGUCAAGGAUAUAUGUCUGAAGUUUUUUUCAUUAUUGCUUUGUUACUUAACCUUCUCCUUGAUGCAUUCUAGGAGAAUGCUAGAUUGUGUGGAUUUUAACAGCCUAAAGCUCUGCAAAGUGGAGGUGAUUAUCAGAAUUUUAAAAGCUGUGACAUUUUGCUGCCAAAAAGUAAUUGAUUUAUUAGAGACAUUACAAUAUAUGCAUGAUUCAACAUAAGAGGUUCCUUUGAACUUGUUCAGUACCAAAUCCUCUGGGAGACUAUUUGCUUUCAGUAACAUGGACAGAAACUCUCUUUCAUUCAGAUUCAGUUGGCCUUAUACAAGUAAAUAUUAUAGCUCAGCAGUAGCACUCCAAUCCAGUGGCCACAGUAGGAUCCAAUUUAAUGGUUACAACAAUUCCAACUGAUGGUUACCAGAAUAUUAAUACAUUGUUUUGCAUUUAUGUUUCCACAAAAUGGAACAGGGAACAGGAUCAGAUGACUUUAUAAUAUAGUAUUAUUAUCAUUGUUAUCAUUACUGUUGCUAAAAAUAAGGUUAUUAUUUCACAACAAAUAAGAUAAAAUAUGGAACAUUUCAGAAGACAUUGGAAGUUUUCCUAACGAGCAUCUCCUUAGUAAAGCCAUACUUCAAAACACUAAGCAGGAAGGCAUAAUUGAGUUCAGUGAUUCCACACCUGAGCAGUGAACCAAACAGAAUAACAAAAUGCCUUAAGCUAAUGAAAAUCUUGUUGUUGAAAACAAUGAAGCCCCAAUGGGGCAUGUGGUAGAAUACUGGGAGCAUUAGGAUCUCUGUCUGCCAAAAUAGCUUGACUAAUAUCCUUAUCCUGAUGAGGUAAACCUAUAGUUCAUUCCCAAGUGCUUUAGGCAAUUGGUAGAAACCUUUGAAAUAGAGACACAGUCUUAAUCUAGGGUGCUGUUUGCUUUCUUAUUCAGUGAUUAUUGAUUACAAAUGUUCCAAAGCAACUUUAUUCCUCUUCAAACAUAUAACAAUAGAAAUGGAAAUAUGUGAUAGAGUAAUUCAAGAGCUUUGCUGAAUAACUCACACUAAAUUAGAUGAUAAAAUACAUAUCCAUCUUAAUGCCCAAGUUAAAAAUCACAGAAUACAAGCUAAUAAAGAUAUUAAAUAACAGGUAGUCUGACCCUGUCUUCUUGUAAACAGGGAGAUACUUGUUCAUCAAGAUCAUGUCUGAUGGCUAAGGUCAUGCAGAUAAAUAUAUACU